CGCUACCGCGGUUCCUUACACGCUGUGGCCCGGGUGGCUGCCGUCGCUGUCGCCCGCUGCCCGCCGCCCAAGCAUCCCGAGCUGCUUCCCGCCGUGCUGGCCCGGCGCUCAGGUGUUCAUGAAAAAAAUGCACAAAAUCCUGACUGACCGGAAUAAUUCAUGAAGAAGGGGCUGGAUCCGUGGGUCACAGAACACAGGACCAGUUUGCCAUCCCAAGGCCGAAGUGUGACCCCAUAGCCAGGCAUAAAUGUCUUGGUCCCGAGCAGAGCAAGAGAGGAGACAAGUCAGUCUGGUGUCUCGGAUUUGGCCCUGCAUUGCCCACUCCUGCUGGAUCUUGUCCAGUCGAGGGACAAAACAUCCUGACACCUUCCUGAAGAAUGGGAAGAAAGGAGAUUCUGAAAGUACAGAUUGCAAUACCGUGCCAGAGGCCAAGGAAACCGACGCCUGAGGGAUUGCGACAGGAGCCCCGAGGACAGCUGGAGCUGGAGGCAUGCAGGCCCAAGAACGGUGGAGAUACCAGCAAUGACCGAGAGCCACCCACAGCAGCUCCUGAGCUGUCUAUCCAGGACCCACCAAAUGCAGGACACACAGCAGGUCUUUCUCACUUUGCAAUUGCAAAAGCUGGAACAAAGGCCAAAGAAGCCAAAGAAGCAGCAUGAGUCUAAAUGCUUUCAGAGUAACCCUGAGAAAAUUCUCUGUUGAGUUACAACUAGUUUUGCCAACAGAUACUGUGAGAAGAGACCUUCCCUCCCACAUUGGAUUCUACCUUACCUGGAUGCCAUUCUUGAGACUUUGAAGAUCUUAUAUCUACCUUUCAUCAUGCUAUUCCUUCUUCAGCUGUGGGAAUUCUGGUUAACCUUCUCUAUGAGAAAAUGUUAACAUUUUCUCCCUCCAAGUUCUGGAUUUAACUGUCUUACCUAAAACUGGGUCAUUUUAGACUAAAGUACCCUAGACAUUACUGUUUCUCAGAAGUUGCCAAGUUCCUGUCGUGCUUGUUUCAUUUGUGAACGGGGUCCAUGCUGACAGAUGCUACCCGGCCUGGUCAGUGUGUCCUCCGUCAGCUUCUUGGUCCCUUUCUCCCCUCCCUCGCCCUGUCCCAGGUGCAACUCACACAGUGGCAACUCUGCCUCUCCUGGUGGGGCCCCAGUACGUGGCAGAUGUGCUGUGGCUGAUGUGUGAGAGAAAGUGUGGUCUUUGUAAAUGUGGAGGAGCCUGGAGCAGGCCUCCACCCCUGGGAGAAGGUAACUUUAGAGGAGGCCAGCCUUCUCUCAGCGUUCUACCUGGCUCUACCCCACAACUCUUGCUCUAGCCUUUUAGUGUCUAUCCUCAUCCAGGGCAGUUGUUAUUUUCUUUCUUGAAUUAAAAGUAACUUUGGUUGUCAUUUUCA
Pteropus alecto (black flying fox) is the source of this 1387-nucleotide long non-coding RNA. RefSeq lists it as uncharacterized. The record is from RefSeq and is a predicted model, not a curated record. Lineage: Eukaryota; Metazoa; Chordata; Mammalia; Chiroptera; Pteropodidae. The transcript has 5 exons.